Molecule: unclassified non-coding RNA, 422 nt
Filed under: Hevea brasiliensis (rubber tree)
Lineage: Eukaryota; Viridiplantae; Streptophyta; Magnoliopsida; Malpighiales; Euphorbiaceae
Source: RNAcentral
UGAAUUUACAUGGUCUGAAGCAAAUUCAUUCGUAUGAUGUGCUCCUUCUAAGUCAUUGUUGCUCCAACUGUGUACGCAGCUAGUAACAGGAGUGUAUUCUACUUCUAGAGCAAGGAAAGAUGAUAUUAGAGGCCCAAAUCACGGUUUAUAGCAGAAGAAAAAGAGGAACUCAAGUCUGCAACUGUUCUUGAUGCCCCUUUCUCCUUCUCCUCAACCCUCCAUAUUCUGGUACCAAUUGCUGCUGCCGCUGUUCUUUUGUUUUUUUUUUGGAGAUUCUUACUAAAGAGAGAGUUGAGAGGCUCCGUGGCGAUUUUGUUUGAGCAUUUAGUUCAUACAGUAGCAAAUGGAUUGUCAUUUAUACGUAGGAUAUAUAUUGUAACAACUGUAAAAUCAGCCAGCUUUGGUUGCAAUUUCGGUCUGAG